Molecule: ribosomal RNA, 440 nt
Filed under: uncultured bacterium
Lineage: Bacteria
Description: partial 16S ribosomal RNA
Rfam family: Bacterial small subunit ribosomal RNA
Source: RNAcentral
CCUACGGGAGGCAGCAGUAGGGAAUAUUGCUCAAUGGGGGAAACCCUGAAGCAGCAACGCCGCGUGGAGGAUGAAGGUUUUCGGAUUGGAAACUCCUUUUUUUAGAGAAGUUAAUUACGGUAUCUAACGAAUAAGCACUGGCUAACUCCGUGCCAGCAGCCGCGGUAAUACGGAGGGUGCAAGCGUUAUUCGGAAUCACCGGGCGUAAAGCGCGCGUAGGCGGGAUAGCAAGUCAGAUGUGAAAUCCUAUGGCUUAACCAUAGAACUGCAGUUGAAACUGGUAGUCUAGAGUAUGGGAGAGGUAGGUGGAAUUCGUGGUGUAGGGGUAAAAUCCGUAGAGAUCAAGAAGAAUACUCAUUGCGAAGGCGACCUGCUAGAACAUAACUGACGCUGAUGCGCGAAAGCGUGGGGAGCAAACAGGAUUAGAUACCCGUGUAGUC